AGCGUACACGGUGGAUGCCUUGGCAGUCAGAGGCGAUGAAGGACGUAUUAACUUGCGAUAAGCCCAGAUUAGGUAGUAAAAACCAUUUGAGUCUGGGAUUUCCGAAUGGGGAAACCCACUUACAUAAGUAAGUAUCGCUGCGUGAAUACAUAGCGCAGCGAGGCGAACCGGGGGAACUGAAACAUCUAAGUACCCCGAGGAAAAGAAAUCAACCGAGAUUCCGAAAGUAGCGGCGAGCGAAAUUGGACUAGCCCUUAAGCUUUUUAUGCGUCAGGUGAAACUUCUGGAAAGUUGUGCGAUACAGGGUGAUAGCCCCGUAACCGGCAACGCAUUUAAAGUGAAAUCGAGUAGGGCGGGACACGUGAUAUCCUGUCUGAAUAUGGGGGGACCAUCCUCCAAGGCUAAAUACUACUGACUGACCGAUAGUGAACCAGUACCGUGAGGGAAAGGCGAAAAGAACCCCUGUGAGGGGAGUGAAAUAGAACCUGAAACCGUGUACGUACAAGCAGUAGGAGCACCUUCGUGGUGUGACUGCGUACCUUUUGUAUAAUGGGUCAGCGACUUAUAUUCAGUGGCAAGGUUAACCAUCUAGGGGAGCCGUAGGGAAACCGAGUCUUAACUGGGCGUUCAGUCUCUGGAUAUAGACCCGAAACCAGGUGAUCUAGCCAUGGGCAGGUUGAAGGUUGAGUAACAUCAACUGGAGGACCGAACCGACUAAUGUUGAAAAAUUAGCGGAUGACUUGUGGCUAGGGGUGAAAGGCCAAUCAAACCUGGAGAUAGCUGGUUCUCCCCGAAAGCUAUUUAGGUAGCGCCUCGGACGAAUACUACUGGGGGUAGAGCACUGUUAAGGCUAGGGGGUCAUCCCGACUUACCAACCCUUUGCAAACUCCGAAUACCAGUAAGUACUAUCCGGGAGACACACGGCGGGGGCUAACGUCCGUCGUGGAGAGGGAAACAACCCAGACCGCCAGCUAAGGUCCCAAAUUACUACUAAGUGGGAAACGAUGUGGGAAGGCUCAGACAGCCAGGAUGUUGGCUUAGAAGCAGCCAUCAUUUAAAGAAAGCGUAAUAGCUCACUGGUCGAGUCGGCCUGCGCGGAAGAUGUAACGGGGCUAAGUAGUAAACCGAAGCUGCGGCAAUGCACUUUAGUGCAUUGGGUAGGGGAGCGUUCUGUAAGCGGUUGAAGGUGUGUGGUAACGCAUGCUGGACGUAUCAGAAGUGCGAAUGCUGACAUGAGUAACGAUAAAGGGGGUGAAAAACCUCCUCGCCGGAAGACCAAGGGUUCCUGUCCAACGUUAAUCGGGGCAGGGUAAGUCGACCCCUAAGGCGAGGCCGAAAGGCGUAGUCGAUGGGAAACGGGUUAAUAUUCCCGUACUUCUUACAAUUGCGAUGGGGGGACGGAGAAGGCUAGGUGGGCCUGGCGACGGUUGUCCAGGUUCAAGUGCGUAGGCUUAAGAGUUAGGUAAAUCCGGCUCUUUUUAAGGCUGAGACACGACGUCGAGCUACUACAGUAGUGAAGUCAUUGAUGCCAUGCUUCCAGGAAAAGCCUCUAAGCUUCAGAUUGUAAGGAAUCGUACCCCAAACCGACACAGGUGGUCGGGUAGAGAAUACCAAGGCGCUUGAGAGAACUCGGGUGAAGGAACUAGGCAAAAUGGUACCGUAACUUCGGGAGAAGGUACGCUCUCGACGGUGAAGUCCCUUGCGGAUGGAGCUAUUGAGAGUCGCAGAUACCAGGUGGCUGCAACUGUUUAUUAAAAACACAGCACUGUGCAAAAUCGUAAGAUGACGUAUACGGUGUGACGCCUGCCCGGUGCCGGAAGGUUAAUUGAUGGGGUUAGACUUCGGUCGAAGCUCUUGAUCGAAGCCCCGGUAAACGGCGGCCGUAACUAUAACGGUCCUAAGGUAGCGAAAUUCCUUGUCGGGUAAGUUCCGACCUGCACGAAUGGCGUAAUGAUGGCCACGCUGUCUCCACCCGAGACUCAGUGAAAUUGAAAUCGCUGUGAAGAUGCAGUGUACCCGCGGCUAGACGGAAAGACCCCGUGAACCUUUACUACAGCUUGGCACUGAACAUUGACCCUACAUGUGUAGGAUAGGUGGGAGGCUUUGAAGCACAGUCGCUAGAUUGUGUGGAGCCGUCCUUGAAAUACCACCCUUGUAGUGUUGAUGUUCUAACGUUGACCCCUAAUCGGGGUUGCGGACAGUGCCUGGUGGGUAGUUUGACUGGGGCGGUCUCCUCCCAAAGCGUAACGGAGGAGCACGAAGGUGGGCUAAUCACGGUUGGACAUCGUGAGGUUAGUGCAAUGGCAUAAGCCCGCUUGACUGCGAGAAUGACGGUUCGAGCAGGUGCGAAAGCAGGUCAUAGUGAUCCGGUGGUUCUGAAUGGAAGGGCCAUCGCUCAACGGAUAAAAGGUACUCCGGGGAUAACAGGCUGAUACCGCCCAAGAGUUCAUAUCGACGGCGGUGUUUGGCACCUCGAUGUCGGCUCAUCACAUCCUGGGGCUGAAGUCGGUCCCAAGGGUAUGGCUGUUCGCCAUUUAAAGUGGUACGCGAGCUGGGUUUAGAACGUCGUGAGACAGUUCGGUCCCUAUCUGCCGUGGGCGUUGGAAGAUUGAAGGGGGCUGCUCCUAGUACGAGAGGACCGGAGUGGACGAACCUCUGGUGUUCGGGUUGUGUCGCCAGACGCAUUGCCCGGUAGCUAAGUUCGGAAUCGAUAACCGCUGAAAGCAUCUAAGCGGGAAGCGAGCCCUGAGAUGAGUCUUCCCUGAUACUUUAAGUAUCCUAAAGGGUUGU
RNAcentral lists this ribosomal RNA (2790 nucleotides) under Vibrio harveyi. Its description in RNAcentral is "bacterial LSU rRNA". It matches the Rfam family "Bacterial large subunit ribosomal RNA". Lineage: Bacteria; Pseudomonadati; Pseudomonadota; Gammaproteobacteria; Vibrionales; Vibrionaceae. The record is from RNAcentral.